UGAGGAAUAUUGGUCAAUGGACGAAAGUCUGAACCAGCGACGCCGCGUGUGGGAUGAAGGGGCUUUGCCCUGUAAACCACUGUCGGAAGGGAAAAAAGAAGUAUGAAUUUCUGGGAUUGUACCUUCAAAGGAAGGAUCGGCUAACUACGUGCCAGCAGCCGCGGUAAUACGUAGGAUCCAAGCGUUGUCCAGAUUUACUGGGUGUAAAGGGUGCGUAGGCGGACUCGUGCGUUAGAGGUUAAAUACUUCGGCUCAACCGAAGAAAUGCCUUUAAUACGGCGAGUCUUGAGUGCGAGAGAGGAUAGUAGAAUUCCUGGUGUAGCGGUGAAAUGCGUAGAUAUCAGGAGGAAUACCAGUGGCGAAGGCGGCUAUCUGGCUCGUAACUGACGCUGAGGCACGA
RNAcentral lists this ribosomal RNA (400 nucleotides) under uncultured bacterium. RNAcentral's name for it is "bacterial SSU rRNA". It matches the Rfam family "Bacterial small subunit ribosomal RNA", at positions 355 to 756 of the family's 1533-position model. The record is from RNAcentral.